This 439-nucleotide ribosomal RNA is filed under the name uncultured bacterium. RNAcentral's name for it is "partial 16S ribosomal RNA". It matches the Rfam family "Bacterial small subunit ribosomal RNA", at positions 339 to 795 of the family's 1533-position model. The record is from RNAcentral.
CUACGGGGCGCUGCAGUGAGGAAUAUUGCACAAUGGGGGGAACCCUGAUGCAGCAACGCCGCGUGGAGGAUGACGCAUUUCGGUGUGUAAACUCCUUUUAUAUGUCAAGAAAAUGACGGUAGCAUAUGAAUAAGCACCGGCUAACUCCGUGCCAGCAGCCGCGGUAAUACGGAGGGUGCAAGCGUUACUCGGAAUCACUGGGCGUAAAGGACGCGUAGGCGGGUUGGAAAGUCAGGUGGGAAAUCCUACAGCUUGACUGUAGAACUGCACUUGAAACUUCUAAUCUAGAGUAUGGGAGGGGGAGAUGGAAUUAGUGGUGUAGGGGUAAAAUCCGUAGAUAUCACUAGGAAUACCUAAAGCGAAGGCGAUCUCCUGGAACAUUACUGACGCUAAGGCGUGAAAGCGUGGGGAGCAAACAGGAUUAGAUACCCCAGUAGUC